Molecule: ribosomal RNA, 82 nt
Filed under: Fissidens dubius
Lineage: Eukaryota; Viridiplantae; Streptophyta; Bryopsida; Dicranales; Fissidentaceae
Description: partial 5.8S ribosomal RNA
Rfam family: 5.8S ribosomal RNA
About the family: 5.8S ribosomal RNA (5.8S rRNA) is a component of the large subunit of the eukaryotic ribosome. It is transcribed by RNA polymerase I as part of the 45S precursor that also contains 18S and 28S rRNA.
Source: RNAcentral
GCAGAAUUCCGCGAAUCAUCGAGUUUUUGAACGCAACUUGCGCCCGAGGCUUGACCGAGGGCAUCUCUGCCAGAGCGUCACC